Molecule: ribosomal RNA, 525 nt
Filed under: uncultured Hydrogenophilaceae bacterium
Lineage: Bacteria; Pseudomonadati; Pseudomonadota; Hydrogenophilia; Hydrogenophilales; Hydrogenophilaceae
Description: partial 16S ribosomal RNA
Rfam family: Bacterial small subunit ribosomal RNA
Source: RNAcentral
AGAGUUUGAUCAUGGCUCAGAUUGAACGCUGGCGGAAUGCUUUACACAUGCAAGUCGAACGGCAGCACGGGAGCUUGCUCCUGGUGGCGAGUGGCGAACGGGUGAGUAAUGCGUCGGAACGUACCGAGUAMUGGGGGAUAACGCAGCGAAAGYUGUGCUAAURCCGCAUWCGCCCUGAGGGGGAAAGUGSGGGACCGCAAGGCCUCACSUUAUUCGAGCGKCCGACGUCUGWUUAGCUAGUUGGGGGGGUAAUGGCCCWCCAAGGCGACGAUCAGUAGCKGGUCUGAGAGGAUGAUCCGCCACACWGGGASUGAGWCACGGCCCAGACUCCUACGGGAGGCRGCAGUGGGGAAUUUUGGACAAUGGGGGCAACCCUGAUCCAGSCAUUCCGCSUGAGUGAMGAAGGCCUUCGGGYUGUAAAGCUCUUUCAGCUGGAACGAAACGGUACGCUCUAACAUAGCSUGCUAAUGACGGUACCAGCAGAAGAAGCACCGGCUAACUACGUGCCMGCAGGCGCGGUAAUAC